CCAAAGUGCAAAUUUGGAGCAGCACCCCAAAAAGGUGCCGGGGCUUCUCCCGUUU
Molecule: transfer RNA, 55 nt
Filed under: Teratoscincus roborowskii
Lineage: Eukaryota; Metazoa; Chordata; Lepidosauria; Squamata; Sphaerodactylidae
Description: partial tRNA-Cys
Source: RNAcentral